UAGGUGAACCUGCGGUAGGAUCAUUG
RNAcentral lists this non-coding RNA (26 nucleotides) under Drosophila melanogaster (fruit fly). Lineage: Eukaryota; Metazoa; Arthropoda; Insecta; Diptera; Drosophilidae. RNAcentral also lists the same sequence under 3 other names. The record is from RNAcentral.